This 253-nucleotide ribosomal RNA is filed under the name uncultured bacterium. Its description in RNAcentral is "partial 16S ribosomal RNA". It matches the Rfam family "Bacterial small subunit ribosomal RNA", at positions 524 to 776 of the family's 1533-position model. The record is from RNAcentral.
UACGGAGGGGGCUAGCGUUGUUCGGAAUUACUGGGCGUAAAGCGCGUGUAGGCGGCUCGAUAAGUCUGCUGUGAAAGUCCAGGGCUCAACCCUGGGAUGCCGGUGGAUACUGUCGAGCUCGAGUCCGGAAGAGGCGAGUGGAAUUCCUGGUGUAGCGGUGAAAUGCGCAGAUAUCAGGAGGAACACCAAUGGCGAAGGCAGCUCGCUGGGACGUGACUGACGCUGAGACGCGAAAGCGUGGGGAGCAAACAGG